ACCUGAAACUUCACUCUGCUGCUCCUACAGGCUGUGUGUGUGUGUGUGUGUGUGUGUGUGAGAGAGAGUGAGAGUGAGUGAGAGUGAGAGAGAGUGAGAGUGAGUGAGAGUGAGAGAGAGUGAGAGAGAGUGAGAGCUUGUACCCUGUUUCAGAAACUCCUCAAAGGAAACAGUACUGAAGUGUGAGUGUGGGGCAGCACCAGUGACCCAGUGGUUAAGGAGCUGCGUUACUGCUCAGCAUGACAUGGCUUCAAGUCCCAUCUCUGCUAAAGUGCUCCUGCUGGGCUCUUGGUUAUGGCUCUUAGCUCGCUGCACUUUUUAAUGCGCUGAAGAUACAGACUUUCACUGUGCUGUAAUGUAGCUGUGACAACUAAAGGCUUCUUCUUCUAACAGAGAAUGUAUUGACCAAUGAGAAUCACUGAGAACAUGAAUCUAUACAUAUAGUUGCAUAUUAAUCCGUAGGCACUGCUGAUUGGGUGGCUGGGUGAUGACCUAUGAAUUGACAGCCAGUGUUUUCAGUUGGACUGCCUGUCAGUUCUGUAGGCCACUGCACGGCCCACCCACACACACACCCACACACACACCCACACACACACACACACACACACACACACACACACUAAAUUCAUUGUGUUUGUGUGAUUUGUAUAUUAAAUUGUGCAUUGUGUGUAAAAUAUCACCUUUAACACAGCCUGUGUGUGUUAGUGAACAUGGUCACUGUAUGUCAUGAUUUUAUUUAUGUAUAUGAUUUUGUUCUGUAGUGUAUAGAGUUGAUGUUGGGGCUUUUAUGCUUGGAAACCUCAAAUCUACAUCACCUCCUGUGUAUUAAAUAAAACCUUACACUUUUCUGUCUCUCAGACUAGAGAGUAAGCUUAAUUAUUAGAACAGAGCCUGAGUUCAUAUCAGAGGGAAUUUGAGUGCUUUGAAAUGAACAGGAGAGAAUCACUGUAUUCGACAAUAACUUUAAUGUUGGAAAAAGAAUUCUGAAAAGAAAAAAAUAAAUAAAAAUGUUUGUGGA
This is a long non-coding RNA of Tachysurus vachellii, 1018 nucleotides long. RefSeq lists it as uncharacterized. The transcript has 2 exons. Lineage: Eukaryota; Metazoa; Chordata; Actinopteri; Siluriformes; Bagridae. The record is from RefSeq and is a predicted model, not a curated record.